UACGUAGGGGGCUAGCGUUGUCCGGAAUCAUUGGGCGUAAAGCGCGUGUAGGCGGUCCGGUAAGUCCGCUGUGAAAGUCGGGGGCUCAACCCUCGGAUGCCGGUGGAUACUGUCGGGCUUGAGUACGGAAGAGGCGAGUGGAAUUCCUGGUGUAGCGGUGAAAUGCUUAGAUAUGGCACAGAACACCAAUUGCGAAGGCAGCUUACUAAGGCGAUACUGACGCUGAGGCACGAAAGCGUGGGGAUCGAACAGG
This 253-nucleotide ribosomal RNA is filed under the name uncultured bacterium. RNAcentral describes it as "partial 16S ribosomal RNA". It matches the Rfam family "Bacterial small subunit ribosomal RNA", at positions 524 to 776 of the family's 1533-position model. The record is from RNAcentral.